This 274-nucleotide ribosomal RNA is filed under the name uncultured bacterium. RNAcentral's name for it is "partial 16S ribosomal RNA". It matches the Rfam family "Bacterial small subunit ribosomal RNA", at positions 523 to 796 of the family's 1533-position model. The record is from RNAcentral.
AUACGAAAGGUGCAAGCGUUGUUCGGAUUUACUGGGCGUAAAGAGAGUGUAGGUGGUUUAUUAAGUCGGAUGUGAAAUCCUGGGGCUCAACCUCGGAACUGCAUUCGAUACUGAUAGGCUAGAGUUUGGGAGGGGUAAGCGGAAUUCCGUGUGUAGCAGUGAAAUGCGUAGAUAUACGGAGGAACACCUGAGGCGAAGGCGGCUUACUGGACCAAUACUGACACUGAGACUCGAAAGCGUGGGUAGCAAACAGGAUUAGAUACCCGAGUAGUCC